AGAUAAUUUAGCAAUUGCCUAGAGAAAUAUUGUUAUAAAUGAAACGGAACUACAUAUAUCCUUUGCACGUGCAUUUUGUGGCCAACAGGAAAUCUAUUUAAAUGUGCCGGGGUCGACAUCAAAAUGCGAAGCCCUCAACAAUGGGGUAACACUGCGCGAACGGGGGCAACACGCAGACGUCGGCGCUCGCUGCACGCGACACAAAAAGCAACCCGAGUUAACACACAAACACACACAGCACACAAGCUGCGCGGUCAAGAGUCAACAGACGCAGCAUUAAUGCUUUGAUUUGUGGCUCUCCUACCACGAUUUAGGCCAUGAUGCGCACACUUUUUGCUUGCACUGUGUGCAUAUAAUAAGGAAAAGGAAACGCAAGUCUUUUGUUUUUGCUGCCUGUAUUAAAAUUUCCAAAUGGACUGCCAAAUUAAGGACUACAAGGAGCUCUAAGGACCUCCACGAGUGACAAAGCAGAUUUUUCCAGGAUCGGACUUUAAUUAGGCCAGAUAUAGAUAUUUUAAGUUUCAAUAAGCUAAAAUUAUAUUUUUAGAGAAAUAAUUAAGAAAACUAGCAUAAAAAACAACAAUUUUGUAAAUUUAAACAUAAAUAAAUCAAUUAUUUGAAAAACAAAAACUAAA
This is a long non-coding RNA of Drosophila montana, 635 nucleotides long. RefSeq lists it as uncharacterized. Lineage: Eukaryota; Metazoa; Arthropoda; Insecta; Diptera; Drosophilidae. The record is from RefSeq and is a predicted model, not a curated record. The transcript has 5 exons.